ACAUCGCGUCGCCACACCUCGACUCUCCUCCGCUCUCCCAUCUGACCCCCCUCCUGCCUACCGCCUCCUCUCUCCUCGUCCGCUGUGCUGCGUCGUCUGCCCCCACCCCCACCCCUGCCUUUGCCUCUCCCGUCUGCCUCGGCGCCGGCCUUCUCAGUCUCUCGCUCUUGUGCGUUGUCGCCCAUGAAAUACAAUAUCACCGGCAUUGUCUACGUGGUCGUGCAGUUCGUGGCGUUCCUUCUGGUGCUGGCGGGAACGCCGCUAGAGAUGUUUCGUAGUGUCGAAAAGGACGCCUUCUUUAACAAUAUAUGCAUCUCCCUAUGGGGUUUUAAGACCAACUGCUCAGCGAUUCCGUACGACUACACUGUUGAUAAACUGUUUUCCCAUUGCCCUCAAACUCUCGACCAGUUCCACGCUGCACAGGCGUUUGCUAUAAUCUCUAUAUUGGUGUACUUGGCGGCGUUCAUCGCAGGCCUUACGUUGCUGUUCUGCUGCUCCUUCCUCCGCUUGGUCUGCCUGGCGCUGAACAUCGUUGGCAGCGUCACCCUGUGCGUUGUGUGGGCAUUGAUGGUAUUGUCUUUCUACAAGGAAGAAAGCCCUCUUUGCCCGUCAUUGGGUUAUGGCGGCACUUUCGCCUCCGGCUUCGUUCUCUUGAUAGUCUCCUGGGUACUGGAUACCAUCAACAUCAUCCUCCUCCUGCUUCCCUGCACGACCACCGACGAUGCGCAGGAUAAGACAGAGGAGCCGCCGACCGCGCAGGAGUAGGAUAGAGGUAGGACAAGUGAAAGGAGGGCGAGCUUGAGAGCGGCGCGGCCCCUCCCCCACACCGGCGUCCUUGUGGUGGAGCUGGUGUCGGCGAGGAUGAGGGUGCGCAAGCUGCGGGUUCCCGUGUGUGCCCUUCGCCGGCCCAGCCCUCUCGCUCCCUGUCGUGCGCGCGUGCGCGUGCGCGGGCAGCAGCGGCACCGCCGUGCACAGGCACCGCUGCCGAGGGGCGAUUGCAGCACUUCCCCCACGCCUGCGUGUGAUACACGGCGGCUGCGUGUGUGCAGGCGCAUGCGCCCCUGCGACCCUCCUCCCUCUUCUUCCGUGAGCGGCCCCCGCGACCAUCGCUCACUUACGCUGCCGUUGUUCGCGGGUGCCGCCGCACGCUCUCGCCUUACUCGACGCUCGUCUCUUUCGAGCUCGCUCAUGCUUGCUGUUCUCUCCUGCGCGCGGAGAGAGGUGCGUGGCGUGUGCGUGUGCGUGCGCCUCUGCGCCUCCCUCCGCUGCUCGCACCCUCCCUGUGCGCGUGUGUGCUGGCGGAGGCGGCUGGCUGUGGCGACGACGCAGGCACGUGCAGCAGCCGUGCAGCACAGCAGGCGCGUACACGCAUACACACCUAUACACGCGGGAACGGGACUGCAGGCGAGGGGCAGCAGCGGAGAAUGCGCGGCGGCACGAGCGAGUGCGACGGUGGAGCGGAGCAGCGGCGGCGCUGCUUUCCUGCUCGCUCCUCUGGCGUCUGGCUCGAGCCCGUCUGCGUGUGCGCCCCCUGUGUCGCUGUGUCUCCUCGCCUCUCUCCUGCGCGAUUUGUGUCGAUGGCUUCGUUGCUGACGCACCCCACCGAGUCCUCCAGGCUCCGCCGUGUGGAGUUGCCACGCCGUAUGUGACGGGUUGCAGCGCACCGACGCGACUGUGGGGAGAGAAGCACUGCAUCCAGGUCGACUACACUGCAGGGCCUCACAGGGCCCUGACCGGAGGCUGGGCAGCAUUCUCCCUCGGCUCGUGCGGCACGUAGAGCCACCGCUCCCCACGAACGCCCUGCUACCCUUGGUUACCCCCUCCCCACCGACAGAGGCCAGCGCCUCCAUCUUGGAGCACGACCCUGAGGGGGCGGCCCCGCUGGGAGCGCGGCGUGCCGUGCGCCCCGGUGCGUGUGGCGCCGAUGCAGCGGCAGGACGGCUCGUCCUCGACGACGCAGAUGUGGCCGCCGUGCCACAGGGCGUAGGCGGGCCGUGGCUGUACGCGCGCAUCUGCCGGCUUGUGCGUGGUGGCGUGGAGGCGGUGAGAAGGAAGUGCAUGCCUCGCGGACUCGGACAGACAUGCGAAUCAGCACACCUAAACAUAAGCAAAACGACGCGUGCAUAUAUGCACCGAUAUCUAUAUCUAUAUAUAUAUAUAUAUGGGUGUGUGGAUGUCUGGAACGACAAAACCGCCAAACGCCUGUUAUUACGCUGUCCUCGCCUGGCAGGGCGGGGGGCGUGCGUGCGCUUGCUUCUCCUCUCUUGCUUGUCCUGUGUUUCCUUUGCGGCACGCCUUCCUGCGCGCGUGCCUGGUAUUUAUCAUGCUUGCUUCCGUUGUCCGACUCGUUCAAACCAACAGCGUCACCGCCGCCACUGCCGCCCCCCUCCUCCGCGAGAGGGCAGGGUAGGGGGUGCGGGCGGCGCUCCUUGCUGCUGCCCGUGGUGGGGCCGCGCCAUGUGCGUGCAGGUGUGCGCACGGGCAUGCGGGUGCGUGCCGGUGUAUAUGUGUAUGUGUGUGUGCGAGCGCGUGAGUCCGGGGAGUGUGGAGGGGUGUAUGCACUGGUGGAGGAGCAUGCUGACGUGCUGCGGGUCGCGUCCCCGCCGCCCUCGGCCCGGCGCCACGCAGACGCCGUCUGUGCUGCCCCUGUGUGCUGCUCUUCGUUCCCCCACCCCUUCGCUGCGGUGCUGCCCCCCCCCCCACCCACACACACACACCGGCACACACGUACAGGUUGGCCCCUCCGCCCCUCUCGCACCCUCCCCCUGCCCCCUGCCCCCUGCGCACAUGCGGCUCGAGCAGCCUGGCACAGGCGCGCCUACAGGACACCGCGGCUAGGCGAAGGCGUGCAUGGGCGGAGGGAAGGCCAGCGGGUGCGGGGCGUGCCAGAGGGGG
RNAcentral lists this unclassified non-coding RNA (2895 nucleotides) under Leishmania donovani. Its description in RNAcentral is "gene:LdHU3.34.2680(CDS-product:amastin-like_surfa ce_protein_putative)". Lineage: Eukaryota; Euglenozoa; Kinetoplastea; Trypanosomatida; Trypanosomatidae. The record is from RNAcentral.